Molecule: ribosomal RNA, 198 nt
Filed under: uncultured bacterium
Lineage: Bacteria
Description: partial 16S ribosomal RNA
Rfam family: Bacterial small subunit ribosomal RNA
Source: RNAcentral
ACGCUCGACACCUACUGGAGGCAGCAGUGAGGGAUAUUGCACAAUGGGGGGAACCCUGAUGCAGCGACGCCGCGUGAGGGAAGAAGGUUUUCGGAUUGUAAACCUCUGUCCUCAGUGAAGAAGAUGACGGUAACUGAGGAGGAAGCCACGGCUAACUACGUGUCAGCAGCCGCGGUAAUCUGAGCGGGCUGGCAAGGC